RNAcentral lists this long non-coding RNA (6048 nucleotides) under Heterocephalus glaber (naked mole-rat). RNAcentral's name for it is "lncRNA (ENSHGLG00100036830.1)". The record is from RNAcentral. Lineage: Eukaryota; Metazoa; Chordata; Mammalia; Rodentia; Bathyergidae.
GUGGGUUCAUUUGCUUUAUUUUUAUUUGGGACUGGGCGGGGAGAGGUGCGGAAUGUGUUUGGUUUUUGACUUUUUGUUUUUGGCUUGGUGGCUUGGGAUUGCUGGUGGUUAUAUUUUGAUGAUUUUCGGAUUUUUGCCUUUUGCAAGUUUGUGGUGUUACGUAAAUCAUAGGAUCCGUCAUCAGCUGGGUUUUGUUUUGUGUGUUUUCUUUCCCUAUCUAAUCGCUCAAUCCUUUUUUAAAGAUGUAUAUUUCAAUACUGGUACUAUUGGAAGAAGCUUACAUUUUUGGUUAUUUGUGACCAUCCCAACCCCUGCUUUUUUUCUUCCUUCGGUGCAAUUUCCUUUUUCACUUGGACUUUUACUGAAGGGAGCCUCUCCUGCACUUAAGAGAAUUGUUCAAAAGAUUUGUUUUAAUUUGGUUUGUUUCUUCCCAGGACAGCGAUCAGUGGAUUUGCUCUGUUAUUGUUGACUCUUAGGAAAUUUUUUGUUGUUGCAAGAAAUGUGGCAUUUGGGUAUGUGUGUGCGUGUGUCCUACAGAAUUCUUAGCCAAAUACAUGUUUGUGUUUUGCCUUUCCUUAAGGUCUUGAAUUUUUUUUCUCAAGCUCAGUUUCAAGGUCGUUGUAAAAAAAUCUCUUCAGUCUGUUGAAGAGGGAAUUCUAAAGGCCUGGCGUGGCUGUAUCUCAGAUACUGCGUGUAUUUAGAACAGACUGUGCUACAACUCAGGCGCACUGCUUGGAGCACAGUCCUCUCAGCUUUGAGCUGAGAUGAGGGGAAGAGGAGAGGAGGAAAUCUCUUUCUCUUUUUCUUUAUUCCCUUCCUUUAAAAAGCAUACACAGUGCAGAAUCAUUUCACUGUGGGCCCUGGUUUGUUUGUUCAGAGAUGCCAGUUUCCCUAUUUAAAUGUUGGUUGGGUUUUUUUCCCCCUCCUACUCAUCCUUGAAUGAGGGAGCCUCUUGUUUCCUUUAUAUCUCUCUGUUAAAAGAAGGAUGUGAGGGGAAAAUAAUAUUUCAGAUUCCUCAAGAAUUAACCCAAAAUGUUUGGACCAGAAGCAGCUUUCAAAGAUCAGGCUGUUCUGAGCUUUGGCUAGGAGAGAGUCCUUCAGGCAACUCAUUAAAUCGAAGAUGAGUGCUUAAAGGUUCCAGAAAAUUUCUUCACAUAUUAAUUUCUAGUAAAGGUAUCUCCCGAAAUAGUCUGCCUAUUGCAACCCAAAAUGUGGGUUUAUAAUGGGAAGAAGAUUGCUGCUUGUUUGCUGAAAUGUUGGGAACCUCUUAGGCUGACAGCCGCUUAAGAAGUUUCACCUAUCCCAGAGAAUGCUGUUAUCAGUAUACCUCUACACACACACACACACACACACACACACACACGCUUCUCAAGAGGCUGUGUGUUGCAGGUUUUAGAACCAGGGGAAGUCCAAAAGGGUUGAUUAUUUUCCACAAGGGCUAGAGCUGAAGAAAUAUGCAUAAGCGCCUGUCCCUGUGAAAUCUGAAUAUUUUAAUACUUAUUGACAGAUGGAUUACUGCAGCUUCUGCAGAAAAACCCGUCUUGUGAAGGAUUUCUGAAAAAUAUACUAGGCCUAAUCCUGUCACUGUUGUUGCAAUGAACAUUUUACCCCCAAAGACACAUGACUUUGUCCACUGCAGAUUUGCUCUGCCAGGUGGCAGAAUACCUGCCUUUUUAUUUGAGUCCCCUUCCCCCUAGUUUUGAAGAGUUUUAAAUGAAUCCACUGGACCCAAAAUGAUAUCCUGAUUUUGCUGAGGUGGUUUUCUUUGUGUAUUUAUAUAUGUCUGAUUUCUACCUUUUGUAAGGAAUAAGCACUUUAGAAUUUCUCAGAUGCUCCUAUAUGGUUUGGCAUGUGAAUUACAUGGCUCUGCUAUAUUAUUGGUCCUAUAAUAGGAUUACUUUUGUGAUCUUUGGCCACUUUUCUUGUCAAAACUGCCAUCUAUUUCAUCCCACUCCCAACUUUAAACACACACAGCGGGUGCCUCUUGUGUUCCCGUUGCCGCUCCACUCUUAGCCCCAUGGGGGCGCUGCCGAGCAAAGGGAAAUCUGCUCCCUCAGGCAGUAGAAGAAGCCUACGUGGGGGCUGGGCAGGAAUUCUCCCUUCUCUGGCCUCAGCCCUCUUAAAUUUUCUGCGGGGAGACUCUGCAGGGAGAGAAAACCCACCAGGCUCGCUCGCUUUACAGAUAGUUAACCCCAUUACUAGACCCUCAAACCUUAGCAUUUUGUUUCUGGUACCAAGUGCCAGAGCCCCACGCUUUUACUACUCCCCGCAAGUCAAUGUGUUUACAUGCAAAGAAAUUGACCAGAACAGGACAUGCAUUGAAAAGAGACUGGGUAACGGGGAGAAAGAUCAUUGAGAAUGUUCUAGACACUUACUUUUGGCUGAGCCUCUUUUUCUCUCAACUGAAUAACUGGUGAGGAAGAUUACGCACCCCGGACGCUACCUCCUCAAUCCCUAGGAAAGUAACUUCAUCGAAUUCAUAUCGAUUGAAUUCCUUCCCGAAUGUCCUUCCUGCCACUGUGGGUGGUCUCGGCCCACUCAGUUCCCAUUGGCAUCGUGAUGUGGGCCUCCCUCCCUCAACAGCGUUAUGUUGUGGCAGCAGAGAAAGGACUGACUUGAAUAUAUUCAAAUUCUUUUAAAUCAUCUUCAGAAGCCCUGAAGAGUGGUUCCGUGUCUGGGGUCUUGUGAGUGCUUCCUGCAGACUUGGAGACACUGUGUAUCAACUAAUGUCAUCAUUUAACGGUCCCUGGUUGUUAGUACUCUGAGGACCAGGCCAGCUACUUGGCCUCAUGGAUUGAGCCCAGGAAUAGGUCCCUGAUUACAGCUGCUGGAUAAAUACGAACUUUAUUACAAAAUUAAACACCCUGGUCCUAAUAUUACAGCUAUUUAAGGACAGGGACACAUUUUACAUCCAGUUCCCUUCACAAAACCUUCCCCAUUAUUCAGUUCUAGCUGAAAAGGAACCUAUCCUUGGAAUAAACAUGGUCUGGUCUGUCCUUCCUCUUUCUCUUCUCUUUUCUUUUUCUUUCUUCUGGUGCUGAGAUUGAACCCAGGGCUUUUGCACUGAGCUACCACCACAGCCCGUCGGGAUUUUUGUUUGGUUUGUUUUUGUUUUUUGAGACAAAGUCCUGCUAAGUUGCCUAGGCUAGGCUUGAACUUGCAACCUUCCUGCCUCAGCCUUCCUCCCCUCUACGGAGCUCAAAACGGGAAGUGGGUUUUACCUGUCAGGAACCUCUAGUACCUUGGCAGGCCUUUAAAUGAACAAAUCACAGGAUUAUAGAUUUGGGUGCUGGAAGGAAAUCUCAUAGAUCAAUCCCUCCUCCAAGCUUCCCUCUUUCAAGAGAGUGAAGUGAGCCUUCACAAGAGUUGUGUACAGCCCUCGGAACACAACUGAAAAUAGACCCGUGUGGCUUGAGAGUCUUGUGUUAUUUUAGAAAAUCAGGUUGAGCCGAUGUCUGGCUUUGGAGACAGGUAUCUUGUUUUUUUUUUUUUUUCAAGAGUAAGGAAAGCAAGGCCGCAUUGAACCCUGUGUAAACUCCAAACGGUUCUCAGAAGCAGCUCCUGCUAACAAUGAGUAUGGGAGUCUCCAUGGUGUUCCGGCUUGGUUAUGCUUGUGACUUAUGCUGCAGUACUCGACACUGUACUUUUGAUGAAUACUAAAGAUAUUAUCUAUCUGACUUGUUAAAUUUUACCUCUUUAUUUCAAAUCCUUCAUUUAGAACUGUUUUAAAACAAGCUCUGUGUAUUAUCCUUGGAUAAAAAAAGAGUUUCUUCGUAAGUUGUAAAGAAAUUGAGGAGACUGAGGAUGUAGAUUAGUGGUAAAGCACCUGUCUAGCCUACUUGAGGCCUUGAGUUCGAUUCCCAGCACCUCCAACAAAUUAAGAUUAAAAAUAAAUUGAGCAGAAAGUUCGGAGACAUUUAAAAAGAUAAAGAGGAUGAUUUCCAACUACUGAGUUCUGAGAAGGAGCCACGGAUGUUUAAUUUUGAUGCAUAUGUUGCCAGCCAGCGUUCAGCCUUUAUUAUUCUGAGAUAUUUUUUCCCCUUUCGCAAACUUUUUCAUCCUGGUUCAGAGCCCCCCCCCAGCAUUGCUUUUCCCCACUCCUCUCACCUAUUUAAAGUGGAAAUAAAUAUCUGCAGCUUAAAAUAGAGAAGCGAGGGGGUUGGGGGCACACGUAAUCAUUUGUUUAUUGCAUUUGAUCACUGUUUUGAAUAACAAGGUUUUCACUUCCUAUGAAACUUUAGCAUGAGGGAAAGCAGCAGCUGGACUCUGAGAGAGAAGAGGGGCAGGAAGGGACUGGAGUGUUUGUAAACAGGAGAGUGGCCCUCUGCUGCCUGCUGCUCCUAGCUCUCUCUACUACCUAAGGCUAGAAGUGGAAAAACUUGAUUUGCAUGUUGUGCCUGCAUUUUUUUCCCUUUCUUCUUCCCCACACCGCCCUCUGUACACCUGACCGUGCACAAGCCUAUCUGGUACUGGCUCCAUGGCAGGGAGCGCUGGAGAGAGGAAGAAUGUGCCCAGGGAGGGAGCACUCGGUACUUUUCCAUUCACAUCUCCACAGUGGCUUUUCUUGUUUAUUUCAACCUCCACCCGCAGAAACCUUUCAGCUGCCUGAAAUUCGAGUCAUUAAACUGUUCCCUGAGGUCAGACUACAGAGGCUGGUGCAUGUUUCCUACAUGUCAGGGUCCAGUAACCUAUGUACAUACAGAGACGCAAUCCUAACUCCGAGGGAGUGCGGUGUGACAGAGGAGAAUAAAACUGGACGCGUUGCCAAAAAACCCUUGGUUUCUAAUUACAGCUCUGCCUGGAACUUUUUAUGGGACAUUGAGCAAAGUCACUUGUGAGGACUCAGUUUUCUCAACUGUACUAGGUGUGACCUAGAUGAGCGCAUUUCUGCUCUGAGUCCUAUACCUGAGCAUCUAGACACACAUUUACAUAAUUUAGGGUGAGGAGGAAGAGUUGUGUGUAUCUGUGUACAGGGGGUGGGGAAAGGGGUUGAAAUAUAAACUUCUAAGGAGGCAGUCCUGGAAUCCCUCGCUCUAUCAAUUUUUAACCAAUUAUAGACCAAAGUCUGGGAUUAUGCAGACUGCAAAACCGAUUGAAGAUUUUAAAGGUUAAGAGUUGAAGGAGGCAGGUUUUUAAGACCUUGUACUUUUGAUCUCCAGUAUUCAUAAUCAGAAGUGACACUUCCGGGUGCCUUUUCCACCCCAUAAUAGUUCUUCUCCUUCUCCCUUUUUUCUUUUUCUUUUGGGCAACUGUCCCAGUCAGUGAUAGGAAGGAGGUGAUCCUUGUGAACUGGGUAGUCUUUAAGCCACUAGGCUCUAUGUGGAUGUGGAAAAUAUUUCAUAACAUCCUGAAGAAGGGACGGAAGGAGGAAGGAAGAAAGGGAAGGACUUAAAGAGAUUUUCCAGGUCAUCAGAAACAAGCAAAGUCUGAGAAUCUGCCACAGCCAACAAUAGCUGAAGGAGACGUGACAACUUGAUGUAAUGCAAUGCCCCGGAUGCAGUCACAGACCACGAAAAGACACAAGAUAAACUUCAACAAAACUGAAUCAAUGAUGGAUUUUAGUUAAUAAUAAUGCCUCAAUAUUUUUCACUGUUAUAAAUGUACUAAUUUCAGAUGUUAAUAAAGGGGAAACUGGCUGCAGUGUUGUUCUCGGUACCAUUUUAUCAAUUUUCAUGUUAACCUAAAACUUUUAAAACGAAGUCAGUAAGUUGGAAAAAUAUAUACUUAUAAAGUUUUGGAAUUUUUUUUCAAUAGUAGAAACCUCCUAAAAGUGACUUAGACCUCUGAAAGGCUCACUUCCCACUCAGUCAUUUUCCUAACACAGAGUCAGGAAAGUGGGGGUACCAUACUCAUUCUUUGAGUUUACUAAAUUGAAAGCAAUUUAGUUUCUGAAUGCCACCAUCUGUAUAAUGAACCAUCAGAAAAACACUAGGGCGGCUGGGCAUUUAGCUCAGUGGUUUCGCUGCCUGCUGCGCAAGCUCAAGGAUCCAAGUUUGAUCCCCGGUAACCUCUCCCCCCCCCAACAAAACCCACUAGGGAGGCACCAAA